CUCGAAACAGGAACUGUGAUUUGACACAGAGAAAAUAGCAUUUGAGCCAAGAGAAAGCUUUCAUCAGAAGAAAGGGGAAGGUCAUUCCAGACCUCGUCACCUGCACGUCCAGACACAGACAGGCCUGACGGGCUGGGUGCACUGGGGGAGACUGAGGGGCUGGCACCGCUGGAAUGGACUGUGUGGGGAGAAGAAAGAGAAGCUCUUGUUGCCCAACUGACAGACUCUUUCUAACAAGAGAACCUACUGGAGAAGUAAGGAGGCCAAAGCAUGAAAGAUAACCAAGUAUAGCACGACAGGACACUCUGCUGUGGGGUUCUGAGCUGCC
RNAcentral lists this long non-coding RNA (328 nucleotides) under Equus caballus (horse). RNAcentral's name for it is "lncRNA (ENSECAG00000053086.1)". The record is from RNAcentral. Lineage: Eukaryota; Metazoa; Chordata; Mammalia; Perissodactyla; Equidae.